Molecule: ribosomal RNA, 400 nt
Filed under: uncultured bacterium
Lineage: Bacteria
Description: bacterial SSU rRNA
Rfam family: Bacterial small subunit ribosomal RNA
Source: RNAcentral
GGGGAAUAUUGGACAAUGGGCGCAAGCCUGAUCCAGCCAUGCCGCGUGAGUGAUGAAGGCCUUAGGGUUGUAAAGCUCUUUCACCGGUGAAGAUAAUGACGGUAGCCGGAGAAGAAGCCCCGGCUAACUUCGUGCCAGCAGCCGCGGUAAUACGAAGGGGGCUAGCGUUGUUCGGAAUUACUGGGCGUAAAGCGCACGUAGGCGGACUGGUCAGUUAGGGGUGAAAUCCCAGGGCUUAACCCUGGAACUGCCUUUAAUACUGCCGGUCUGGAGUUCGAGAGAGGUGAGUGGAAUUCCGAGUGUAGAGGUGAAAUUCGUAGAUAUUCGGAGGAACACCAGUGGCGAAGGCGGCUCACUGGCUCGAUACUGACGCUGAGGUGCGAAAGCGUGGGGAGCGAAC